Molecule: ribosomal RNA, 502 nt
Filed under: uncultured bacterium
Lineage: Bacteria
Description: bacterial SSU rRNA
Rfam family: Bacterial small subunit ribosomal RNA
Source: RNAcentral
AAUGAACGCUGGCGGCGCGCCUAAUACAUGCAAGUCGAGCGAGAAGACGUAGCAAUACGUUUGUAAAGCGGCGAACGGGUGAGGAAUACAUGGGUAACCUACCCUCGAGUGGGGAAUAACUAGCCGAAAGGUUAGCUAAUACCGCGUACGCUCCUUGGACUUCGGUUCAGGGAGGAAAGCGAUGCCGAGGGUAUCGCGCUCUUGGAUGGGCUCAUGUCCUAUCAGCUUGUUGGNGAGGUAACGGCUCACCAAGGCUUCGACGGGUAGCUGGUCUGAGAGGACAAUCAGCCACACUGGCACUGCGACACGGGCCAGACUCCUACGGGAGGCAGCAGUAAGGAAUAUUGCGCAAUGGGCGAAAGCCUGACGCAGCGACGCCGCGUGGGGGAUGAAGGUCUUCGGAUUGUAAACCCCUUUCGGGAGGGAAGAUGGAACGAGCAAUCGUUCGGACGGUACCUCCAGAAGCAGCCACGGCUAACUUCGUGCCAGCCGCCGCGGUAAG